UGGGCAGGCUCAUCGCGCAGGUCGUGUGGAGCCGGGCCACGGCCGGCGGUGCCGGGCUGCUUCGGCUCGGGCCGGGGUGCCCUUAGCGGCGGCCGGGGGAGUGGCGGCCUCGCUCCCCGGACGGGGUUCGCACUCGAGGUGCGCGAUAGCGGGGGCGCGGUGCUCGGCCGCUCUUCCCGCCGGCCGGCCGGGCUCCGCCGAUAAGGGCGGUGGUGGUCUGGGCCUCGGCGGAGCGGCCUCCCCGCAGAGCCCAGCCGCGGUGGGGCUGACGCUGGCGCUCUCCCCGAGCCGUCCCCCGGGAGCGGGGUCGCCGCACAAAGCGCUGGUUGUCCCCUCGGCGGUGCCGGAGUGGUGAGGUACAAGGAAGCUUGCUGGGGGACCGGCAGGCAGCCGGCCGGUGGGACAGCCAGCCCGCCGAGCUAGUGCCCGCAGGUUGUUUUUAAAUUCUUCUGUUUACUGAAAAAGCAUAUCCCUCACAUCAGUUGUUCCUAAUUGUGGCAGAAGCCAGAAGCACAGGAAGCAAUAGCCUUGAGGAGUCCCAGGUACAGCUUAGCGAGAAGUCUGGCCUAACAGCUGUGAGGCUUUGCAGUACCUCAGCUAGAUCUACACUGCCUUGCAUCAUGUAAACAACAGGAUUUCUUUAUUUGGAAGGCAUGGAGGUUAUUGUUGUUGAAGGGAGUAUCAAGUACUAAUCUAGUUCCAUUUUUUAAGAUAUUAUUACUUUGAUUUUCUUGGGUUUGUAAUGAUUUUAUUUUGGAUAAUAACUUGCAGUAAUGCUACAAUAUUUUACACCCCAAAGCACAGAUGUACAGUCUGAAAUACAACAUUUCAAUGUGGUUUGUUUGUGGGGGUUUUUUGUUGUUUUUUUUUUACUUUUUUAGGAUUUGUAAUCAGAAAUCUGAUUUUAUAAAUACUAAACAGGAAUCACAAGUGGUACGCUACUCUCUGGUAUGUCCUGUAGUUUGAAAGGAGGGGUACCUAUUGAUGCACCAAAACAUGCCAAAGUAAACCAGAGUACACUAGCAGCUAAAAUGUGGUCACGUUAGUAAUCACUGCUUGAACAACAACACAAACAACUAAAAUGAUUUGUGAAUGUGUAGUUAGAUAUUUGGUGUUGUGUUUGUAAGAGAAGCUUUAUGAGAAGGAGAAUUGACACGAUUCACAGUUUUCUCAUCCACCGUUCCUAGGUCAGGUCUCCAGCACUGUUGUCUCCCUGCACACUGGAGCCAGAAUGAAUAAAAAAAAUGGUGAAAUCCAUAGUCUGGCAAAUAACUUGACAUUCUAUGAAUUCCUGUGUACUCAUUUGUCGCUUACUCAUUUCAUGAGAGAAAUUAUUAUAGUGGAAACAUAAUAUUCUGACUUGGUAACAGGGUAAGGUGGCUGAAAUGUUUAAAGGAUUGACUGGUGAGUUCAAGAUAUAUGCAUGAUGGUAUUUCUGCUGCAGCAGAAAAAAAGGAUGGCAACUGAGAUCUAUUACAUGAAAUUUUCUCAUUUCCUCUGCUGAAUAAUGAACUUUCUCUAGGUAAUAGUUUCCUCAUAACGUGAACAUAAUACAUACUUCACAGUAUUCUUAACCAUUUACAAUUUAUUACUGUUUUUAGAGAUUCUUGAGCUUCUUCGGUGAAAAGUAUAAGGUUUAUAUAAAACAUUAUUUUGUAGGUACAACACAGAUAUUAACUGAUGUCACUUUCCAAACAACUGCUUGAGUUCUAUUUAAAAUUUAAAUACAUAAAACUCUACUAUUGAAAGUCUUCUGAAUAGGCCGUGUUAAAAGUACACAGAAAACAGUAUUUGCCAGUAUGAAAACUUUCCUGAAAGGUUUAAAAAGGCUCAGGUAGCUUAAUGUGAAUAUACUGUACCACAGGAACGUGCAUACCACAAGUUGUUUGCAUAUGGUCACGCUUUGCAAAAGAUUGAUCCUGUAAAACAAGGUAAGACAAUGCAGUAAUGUGCCAGGCACUAAUAAGACACUGAGAAACUACCUCACACAAAGGUGAAUGACAUCAACCAUUCAGAUAAUGCAGUAAAAGACAAACGCAUAUGAAGUCUCAUAUUCAUUUGAAAAUAUGCACUGUAAAUAAGAAAAAAAUACUGAAAAGAGUUUGCAUUUGGUUAACAGUCUGGCUGUAGACUAGAUUUUCUAGCCACUUGUAGGUUGUUUUUGAUGGGGGAGCAGAUUUUUUUUGUUGGUGGUAGAUGGCUGUACAUGACGGUGAAGAGCAAGACUGAAGACUAAAAAACAAAAAGCAAAAGCAACUGAAUAAAUGGACCUCACUAGAUGCAAACUAAAGGUGUCUGGGAGCUAUAAAGAGAAGAAAGAGAUACAAGUGAAAAAUAAUUAAAUGGAAGAGUAUUCAGUAUAACAGAAGAUUAUCAGGCUAUUCACAGUGUAGUUUAUGUGAGAGAACUUUUGUAUUUUUUUCUUAUCAAGAGCUGUUAGUUCUUAAUCUACCAGUAAUAAAUAUAAAUGGCUAAAGCAAAAUAUUUUCUCUGAAGAGGAAAUCUCUUCUAUCAAAUGCUAGCUCAACUAAUCUAGCUCCCUGAUGAUGCUAUUUUGCCAGCUGGCUUAUUUAUGAAAUGUUUUUUCUCAUUCUGUUUAUCUACCACUUUUGCAUAUUACAGGAGGUUUCAGUCUCCAUUAAGUCUGAAAAAUGUGUUUUACUAAACUAUUUGAGACAAAUAUAUAUAUUUGUAAAAUACUUUCUCAGAAAAACCUGAGGAAUCUCUCAGUAGAAUGAUGUCUAGUUUAAUUUGGAAAAUGAUGUUUUAGAAAGGGGCACUAGAUGUUUCUUAUCAUAUUUUAGUGAAGACAGAUAUGACUUGCUCUUGUUUCCUUUUUUUUUUUUUUUGUUUUCCUGGAAACGACAGCUCUGCAAAUUCAACCUUGUCUCAAAGCUAAGUUGUAUUGUCUAAGAUUCAUCAUCACUAAGGGUUGUGCAAUCACGGAGUUCAAAUGUUUUUCUUCCACCUGUGUAUAUUUAUACAUACCCCAACACAGAUGUCAAAGAGCAGUAUGCUGGGGUUUACAUUUUUAGUAUAGUGGUAGAACCACUCAAGAUUUGCAUGACACUGUUCUCCAAAACAUUGUGCCUAGCAAAAAAAAAAAGCAGCAUCCUUCCUCUCACAGUAUCAGUUGAGCAAUACUUUUUCAUUGUGUUACAAGCAUCUCCUCGUAAGGAUUAUUUUUAUGUCAUUUUUAAUAUGAUUUUACUAGGGUGCACAUGAUCUAUGCAGCUUUUAUUAAAAAAAGUGGUCAUACUGCUAAAAAAGGGGGUUGAAUCACUUUCUGAAGGCAAUUACACAAUUUCUGACUUAAAGGGGAAGGAGGGGAGUUUAGAAUAAUACUGGCCUGGUUGUAGUGUUUUGUUUGGGUCACUGCUAAUAGCAUAAACAAAUGUAUUUCUUAAUCGUGAAUGGGUAGAGGUAAAAUAACUUACUCUGGAACUUGCUGACUUUCCUUCUAUUGCAUACAGUGCCCUCACGUGGCUCUUUCAUUUUCCUGAUGCAGCGGACAGAGAUGAUAUAUAAUGUUUUAACAGUUCUGUGUACUCAACUCUCUCACCACACUUUUGUAACACCUAUUAUCUUUGGGAUUUUAUGCAUACAAGCUAAAGCAUGAAAACUGCAAACAAUAGCUUAUUACUAUACUAAGCUUCAGGGGUAGUUUCAUAUUCAAAUUAAAACACUGAAAGCAAAAUCCUGAUAAUUAAUUUAAACCCAGCCAGGUAAUGACUCAGCCAGGACUCCUCUGUUUUCAGCAAGUCGGAAAAAAAGUUGUAUAAAAGCUUCAUUAGAAGCUCUUUUAUUCUUUUUCAAAGUUUGCUUAGAUUAGCAAUGUGGUAAAUAGGAACACUGAAACCUCUUAAAUGCUGGAAUACUUGUUUGUUAGUAAAUUAUUAUAUCUAAUUCCACCUAGCCCAUAAAAGUAAGUACCUGAGCUACCUGCAUUUGAUACACUCACUGAACAGGAAGGAUAUACAACCUUGUAAUAGAACAAAUGAAAGCUCCAAAAGCUUUUACUAUUUUGAUACCUCACAUAUAAAGCUAUUUUAAAGCUGAAAAGUCCUCUGAGUAGAAUCAUUUGGAUUCAGAGUUACUGCAUUAUAAAAGUUUUACAACUCACUAAUCUUCACAUACAAGUUCUAAAUAUGCAAUUUUACUUGUCAAUAAUGUUACAGAACAAUUUCUUUUAGCAAUAAUUUUUUGGCAAAAAAUAUAGGAAAAGAAAAUUAUCUAGGGUUGCUCGUACAUACUGAUAAUUUAACUGCUUAGCUACAAUGACAUGAAAAUAAGUUGGUGCCCCUUUUUAAUUAUGAAGGAAAAAAUGACAUUUGUGAAUUUUUUUCAAGUAACCUCAGGUCCUGAGGAAGGACAGAACAAAUCUGGGAGUUGAACUAAGCAGUUGAUGGCUAACUAAUAAAUGUUGUUUGGGAGAGCUCAACUUCUGUUUAUUUUCCUAUUUCAUGAAGAAAAAGACGUAGAUCUUGUUAGUGUAGGUUGCGCAAGUUUAAACUCGUGAACUGCUAUUUUUUAUAUAUUCAGCACUGCCAUCUAGUGGACAUGAUUGCAGUGAGCUUCCGUUUGUUGUCGAGCAUUAAAGGGGUUUAAGGUAAAAUAAUCACACAUUUAAAAUUCUUCAUAAACUUAAAAAAAUGAAAGCUGUAAGAUUAAUACUUUAUUACUGUGUAUUUUUAUAAUCACAAAAGGUACGCUCAAUUUAUGCUUGUAUUUUGUAUGUCACCACAUGAAAGACAAAUGGCCACAACAGAAGUCUAGAUUAAAAAUAGCUGGAAUGAAAUAAAGGUUUAUUCCUGCUUUCAUUUAUCUUGGUUUUAGAAAAAAAAUUAUUUUAAAAUUAUUUUAAUAUUAUCUGCACCAAUACUGCAGACCGAGUAGCUCAUUUAGUGAAAAUUUAAUAUAAAAUGAAUAUAAGAUGAAUAAUCCAGCAUAAACCUUGUGCAAAAAAUAAAGAAUGUGGUUGCAAGGGAAGGAGAGACAGGUACCUUGCUCAGAAUUUAGCAAAUAUUCUCUUCUUCUACAUGAAAAAGACUAAAGGAUCUGUUACUGUAAAAAUGGGAUUUGAAAUCAGAGGCAAAAAGAGCAGAUAGUAAUAUGGAAGGCAUCUGCAAAUGAAAUGGUGGUGGUGGUGAAUGUGGACUAUUUACUGUCAGUUCCGAUUGCAGUCUGUAAAACAGCUUUUAAAUAAAGCAGUAGGUCAUAUAGUGGCGUAUUUUGUAGAGUGUUUGUAUUAUCAUAGGCCUGUGGGAUUCCUAAUUUUGGACCAGACUAAUACAGUGUUAGAUGUAGCAUAAACAAAA
Molecule: long non-coding RNA, 5318 nt
Organism: Harpia harpyja (harpy eagle)
Lineage: Eukaryota; Metazoa; Chordata; Aves; Accipitriformes; Accipitridae
Exons: 2
Source: RefSeq, a predicted model, not a curated record